UUGUCUCAAAGAUUAAGCCAUGCAUGUCUCAGUACGAGCCACAUUAAGGUGAAACCGCGAAAGGCUCAUUAAAUCAGUUAUGGUUCCUUAGAUCGUACCCACACUUACUUGGAUAACUGUGGUAAUUCUAGAGCUAAUACAUGCAAACAGAGCUCCGACCGGAGACGGGAGGAGUGCUUUUAUUAGAACAAAACUAAUCGGCGGCGGGCGCGCUCGCGCGUCCGUCACGCCGCUCAGCCUGGUGACUCUGAAUAACUUUUCGCUGAUCGCACGGUCUCGCACCGGCGACUCAUCUUUCAAAUGUCUGCCUUAUCAACUGUCGAUGGUAGGUUCUGCGCCUACCAUGGUCGUAACGGGUAACGGGGAAUCAGGGUUCGAUUCCGGAGAGGGAGCCUGAGAAACGGCUACCACAUCCAAGGAAGGCAGCAGGCGCGCAAAUUACCCACUCCCGGCACGGGGAGGUAGUGACGAAAAAUAACGAUACGGGACUCAUCCGAGGCCCCGUAAUCGGAAUGAGUACACUUUAAAUCCUUUAACGAGGACCCAUUGGAGGGUAAGUCUGGUGCCAGCAGCCGCGGUAAUUCCAGCUCCAAUAGCG
RNAcentral lists this ribosomal RNA (598 nucleotides) under Canthyporus hottentotus. Its description in RNAcentral is "SSU rRNA". It matches the Rfam family "Eukaryotic small subunit ribosomal RNA", at positions 32 to 599 of the family's 1831-position model. The record is from RNAcentral. Lineage: Eukaryota; Metazoa; Arthropoda; Insecta; Coleoptera; Dytiscidae.